This 279-nucleotide ribosomal RNA is filed under the name uncultured bacterium. RNAcentral describes it as "partial 16S ribosomal RNA". It matches the Rfam family "Bacterial small subunit ribosomal RNA", at positions 506 to 784 of the family's 1533-position model. The record is from RNAcentral.
UGCCAGCCUCCGCUGUAAUCCGGAGUGUGCAGUCGUUAAUCGGAAUUACUGGGCGUAAAGCGCGUGUAGGCUGUUCGUUAAGUCUGAUGUGAAAGCCCGGGGCUCAACCCCGGAAGUGCAUUGGAAACUGGCGAACUUGAGUACGGGAGAGGAAAGUGGAAUUCCGAGUGUAGGGGUGAAAUCCGUAGAUAUUCGGAGGAACACCAGUGGCGAAGGCGGCUUUCUGGACCGAUACUGACGCUGAGACGCGAAAGCGUGGGGAGCAAACAGGAUUAGAUA